Molecule: ribosomal RNA, 449 nt
Filed under: uncultured bacterium
Lineage: Bacteria
Description: partial 16S ribosomal RNA
Rfam family: Bacterial small subunit ribosomal RNA
Source: RNAcentral
AGCGAACGCUGGCGGCAAGCUUAACACAUGCAAGUCGAACGAUGUAGCAAUACAUAGUGGCGGACGGGUGCGUAACACGUGGGAAUCUGCCUUUAGGUGGGGGAUAACUCAGGGAAACUUGAGCUAAUACCGCAUGAUAUCUUCGGAUCAAAGAUUUAUCGCCUAAAGAUGAGCCCGCGGCAGAUUAGCUAGUUGGUGGGGUAAUGGCCUACCAAGGCAACGAUCUGUAGCUGGUCUGAGAGGAUGACCAGCCACACUGGGACUGAGACACGGCCCAGACUCCUACGGGAGGCAGCAGUGGGGAAUAUUGGGCAAUGGGCGCAAGCCUGACCCAGCUAUGCCGCGUGAAUGAUGAAGGCCUUAGGGUUGUAAAGUUCUUUUACCAGGGACGAUAAUGACGGUACCUGGAGAAAAAGCUCCGGCUAACUUCGUGCCAGCAGCCGCAGUAA